UAGGGAAUCUUCCGCAAUGGGCGAAAGCCUGACGGAGCAACGCCGCGUGAGUGAUGAAGGUCUUCGGAUCGUAAAACUCUGUUAUUAGGGAAGAACAAAUGUGUAAGUAACUAUGCACGUCUUGACGGCACCUAAUCAGAAAGCCACGGCUAACUACGUGCCAGCAGCCGCGGUAAUACGUAGGUGGCAAGCGUUAUCCGGAAUUAUUGGGCGUAAAGCGCGCGUAGGCGGUUUUUUAAGUCUGAUGUGAAAGCCCACGGCUCAACCGUGGAGGGUCAUUGGAAGCUGGAAAACUUGAGUGCAGAAGAGGAAAGUGGAAUUCCAUGUGUAGCGGUGAAAUGCGCAGAGAUAUGGAGGAACACCAGUGGCGAAGGCGACUUUCUGGUCUGUAACUGACGCUGAUGUGCGAAAGCGUGGGGAUCAAACAGG
This 429-nucleotide ribosomal RNA is filed under the name Bacteroidota bacterium. Its description in RNAcentral is "Bacteroidetes bacterium partial 16S ribosomal RNA". It matches the Rfam family "Bacterial small subunit ribosomal RNA", at positions 355 to 776 of the family's 1533-position model. Lineage: Bacteria; Pseudomonadati; Bacteroidota. The record is from RNAcentral.